GACUCCAAGGUUGGGUAGUUUAUGCUAUUUGCUUCACUUUCUGCAGGUAAACGCUAGCAUGUGGGGAGAAGGGUUUUGGGUGCUGAAGACAUUAAGACCUGGUGGCCGCCUACAGGAGGUGAAUGCAAUCCGGAGGCGUGGUGGAGCCCAGGUUUUUCUAGGGCAUGUAGGGCUUUGUUUGAUCAUACCAACAGUCAAAUAUGGUGGUGGUAGUGUGAUGUCUGGGGCUGCAUUGCUGCUUCAGGACCUGGACAACUUGCUGUGAUUGACGGAGCCAUGACUUCUGCUCUCUACCAAAAAAUCCUGAAGGAGAAUGUCCGGCCAUCAGUUUGUGACCUCAAGCUGGAGCGCACUAGGGUUCUGCAGCAGUACAAUGAUCCAAAACACACCAGCAAGUCCACCUCUGAAUGGCUUAAAAAAAAUGGUUUUGGAGUGGCCUAGUCAAAGUACGAGCUUGAAUCCGAUUGAGAUGCUGUGGCGUGACCUUAAAAAGGCGGUUCAUGCUCGAAAACCCUCCAAUGUGGCUGAAUUAAAACAAUUCUGCAAAGAAGUGUGGGCCAAAAUUCCUCCACAGCGAUGUGAAAGACUCAUUGCCAGUUAUCGCAAACGCUUGAUUGCAGUUGUUGCUGCUGAGGGUGGCACAACCAGUUAUUAGGUUUAGGGGACAAUUACUUUGUCACAUAGGGCCAUGAAGGUUCGGAUAGCUUUUUUCCCUUAAUAAA
Molecule: long non-coding RNA, 722 nt
Organism: Salvelinus namaycush (lake trout)
Lineage: Eukaryota; Metazoa; Chordata; Actinopteri; Salmoniformes; Salmonidae
Exons: 3
Source: RefSeq, a predicted model, not a curated record